GAAAGAUGUGUGUGUGAUGUGUGAUGAUGUGUGUGUGUGUGCUGGAUGAUGUGUGUGCUGAAUGAUGUGUGUGUGUGUGCUCUGGAUGACAUGUGUGUGUGUGCGCUGGAUGAUGUGUGUGUGUGUGCGCUGGAUGAUGUGUGUGUGUGCUGGAUGAUGUGUUUGUGUGUGUGCUGGAUGAUAUGUGUGUGAUGUGUGUGUGUGUUAGGGGGGGAAGCAUUUUUUUUCCAA
Molecule: non-coding RNA, 231 nt
Organism: Pelobates cultripes (western spadefoot toad)
Lineage: Eukaryota; Metazoa; Chordata; Amphibia; Anura; Pelobatidae
Source: the annotation of a GenBank genome assembly